UACGGGGGGGGUAAGCGUUGUUCGGAAUUACUGGGCGUAAAGGGCUCGUAGGCGGCCAACUAAGUCAUACGUGAAAUCCCUCGGCUUAACCGGGGAACUGCGUCUGAUACUGGAUGGCUUGAGGUUGGGAGAGGGAUGCGGAAUUCCAGGUGUAGCGGUGAAAUGCGUAGAUAUCUGGAGGAACACCGGUGGCGAAGGCGGCAUCCUGGACCAAUUCUGACACUGAGGAGCGAAAGCCAGGGGAGCAAACGGG
This 253-nucleotide ribosomal RNA is filed under the name uncultured bacterium. RNAcentral describes it as "partial 16S ribosomal RNA". It matches the Rfam family "Bacterial small subunit ribosomal RNA", at positions 524 to 776 of the family's 1533-position model. The record is from RNAcentral.